Molecule: ribosomal RNA, 253 nt
Filed under: uncultured bacterium
Lineage: Bacteria
Also listed under: 1 other name
Description: partial 16S ribosomal RNA
Rfam family: Bacterial small subunit ribosomal RNA
Source: RNAcentral
UACAGAGACUGCAAGCGUUAUUCGGAUUCACUGGGCGUAAAGGGUGCGCAGGCGGUCGUGUGUGUCAGAUGUGAAAUCCCGGAGCUUAACUCCGGAACUGCGUCUGAAACUACACGACUAGAGCAUUGGAGAGGGAAGUGGAAUUCAUGGUGUAGCAGUGAAAUGCGUAGAUAUCAUGAGGAACACCAGAGGCGAAGGCGACUUCCUGGACAAUUGCUGACGCUCAGGCACGAAAGCAUGGGGAGCAAAAGGG